GUGGGGAAUUUUGGGCAAUGGGCGCAAGCCUGACCCAGCGACGCCGCGUGGGUGAUGAAGGCCUUCGGGUCGUAAAACCCUGUCAUGCGGGACGAAGGAUCCGGGUCCUAAUACGACCCGGAUUUGACGGUACCGCAGGAGGAAGCCCCGGCCAACUCCGUGCCAGCAGCCGCGGUAAUACGGAGGGGGCAAGCGUUAUUCGGAAUCAUUGGGCGUAAAGGGCAGGUAGGCGGCCGCGCACGUCCCUUGUGAAAGCCCUCGGCUCAACCGAGGAACUGCAGGGGAAACGACGUGGCUUGAGUCCGGGAGAGGAGAGUGGAAUUCCCAGUGUAGCGGUGAAAUGCGUAGAUAUUGGGAGGAACACCGGUGGCGAAGGCGGCUCUCUGGACCGGCACUGACGCUGAGCUGCGAAAGCUAGGGGAGCAAACGGGAUUAGAUACCCGAGUAGUCC
This 451-nucleotide ribosomal RNA is filed under the name uncultured bacterium. RNAcentral describes it as "bacterial SSU rRNA". It matches the Rfam family "Bacterial small subunit ribosomal RNA", at positions 354 to 796 of the family's 1533-position model. The record is from RNAcentral.